This 406-nucleotide ribosomal RNA is filed under the name uncultured bacterium. RNAcentral's name for it is "partial 16S ribosomal RNA". It matches the Rfam family "Bacterial small subunit ribosomal RNA", at positions 30 to 526 of the family's 1533-position model. The record is from RNAcentral.
AUUGAACGCUGGCGGCAGGCCUAACACAUGCAAGUCGAACGAGUGGCGGACGGGUGAGUAAUGUCUGGGAAACUGCCUGAUGGAGGGGGAUAACUCCUGGAAACGGUAGCUAAUACCGCAUACCAUCAGAUGUGCCCAGAUGGGAUUGGCUUGUUGGUGGGGUAACGGCUCACCAAGUCGACGAUCCCUAGCUGGUCUGAGAGGAUGACCAGCAACACUGGAAAUGAGAGACGUUCCUGACGUCUACGUGAGGCAGCAGUGUGGAAUAUUUACCAAGGGGCGCAAGCCUGAUUCAUCCAUGCCGCGUGUAUGAAGAAGUCCUGCGGGUUGUAAAGUACUUGCAGCGGGGAGGCGUUACCCGCAGAAGAAGCACCGGCUAACUCCGUGCCAGCAGGCGCGGUAAUUC